GUCAAAAAAAAAAGGGGGGAAAUCAGAUUUCAAAUUUGCAAUACUUGAGACAUCUCUCUAUAAAUACCAGUUGCAUUGGAGUACAAAUACUGCAGGUAUUUAUUUCUCUCUCUACACUCUUAAUGUUGCUUUUAUAUCUGCUUUCAUAUUCUUAUUUUCUUUUAUUUCGAAUUAUUACCAUCUUUAUUUUGGAGAUAAUAAGGUAUGUGAAUACUAUCUAAUACUUUUAUCUACAAAGCUUACAUUUUAUUGUUUUUUAGUUUGUUAUUUCUUUUUAUUGCUGUAUUUAUUUAUUAUUGCACCUAUUACACAUACAUGGAAUAAUUAACACAGAUACAUCCCUCUUUUGCAUCUUCUUCUCACACUGCACAAAGAAAAACAAAAAGAAGAUCAAAAUGAGAGGACAACAACAAUACAGAAUCAACAUGCAGUAGAAGACGAGCAAUAAAGAUAACUAACAAGAACUAUUGUUUACCAAAGAAUAGAAGAAGAAGAAGAGUAAAUUUCAAAACUAGAGAAGAAGAAUAAAAAGAAGAAGAAGAGAGAAUGAACAGUUCCAUUUUUAGAGGAAACGCAUAAAAAUAAAGGAUAGAUGAAUAAUAUGAACAAAAUGAUUAUUCUGUACAAAAUGUAUUUUCAAUUUAUUAACUUUUAUAUAAGAAGAUUACCAUUUUUUGAA
Molecule: non-coding RNA, 679 nt
Organism: Salvia hispanica
Lineage: Eukaryota; Viridiplantae; Streptophyta; Magnoliopsida; Lamiales; Lamiaceae
Source: RefSeq, a predicted model, not a curated record